UAGGGAAUAUUAGUAAUGGGCGAAAGCCUGAACUAGCAACGCCGCGUGUGCGAAGGAGGCCUUCGGGUUGUAAAGCACUUUUUGAGAGGAUGAGGAAGGACGGUACUCUCAGAAUAAGUCUCGGCUAACUACGUGCCAGCAGCCGCGGUAACACGUAGGAGGCGAACGUUAUCCGGAUUUACUGGGCGUAAAGCGCGUGUAGGUGGUUUGGUAAGUAGGGCGUGAAAGCUCCUGGCUCAACUGGGAGAGGCCGUUCUAAACUGCCGAACUAGAGGAUGGUAGAGGGAGGUGGAAUUCCGGUGUAGCGGUGGAAUGCGCAGAUAUCCGGAGGAACACCAGUGGCGAAAGCGGCCUCCUGGACCACUCCUGACACUCAGACGCGAAAGCUAGGGUAGCAAACGG
This 402-nucleotide ribosomal RNA is filed under the name uncultured bacterium. RNAcentral's name for it is "bacterial SSU rRNA". It matches the Rfam family "Bacterial small subunit ribosomal RNA", at positions 355 to 775 of the family's 1533-position model. The record is from RNAcentral.